AUUUACUUUGAGAAAAUUAGAGUGUUCUAAGCAGUCAAAUGGCUUUAUCCUGAAGCAUGGAAUGAUAAGGUAUGACAUCACUUAAAUUCAAAAAGGUUUGAGAAGCUGAUGUAAUGAUUUAUAGAGUCUGUCGGUGGUAUUUCGUAUUUUGUCGUUAGAAGUGAAAUUCUGGGAUCGACCAAAGACUACCAAAUGCGUACGCAUUUGCCUAGAAUUUUCUCCUUGAUCAAGAACGUAAGUUGAGGGAUCGAAGACGAUCAGAUACCGUCGUAGUCUCAACUGUAAACUAUAUCAUCUAGGGGUUGACAAUUGCUUAAUUGGCUUUGUCAGAACCUUAAGAGAAAUCAAAGGAUUUGGGUUCCGGGGGUAGUAUGGUCGCAAGACUGAAACUUAAAGGAAUUGACGGAAGGGCACCACAAGAUGUGGAUCCUGUGGCUUAAUUUGACUCAACACUGAAAAAUUUACCAGGUCCAGACAUAGUUAAGAUUGACAGAUUGAUAGUUCUUUCUUGAUUGUAUGGGUGGUGGUGCAUGGCCGUUCUUAGUUGGUGGAGUGAUUUGUCUGGUUAAUUCCGUUAACGAACGAGACUACUCUCUGCUAAAUAAUAUAAUCAUUUAGAUAUGAUUUUAGCUUCUUAGAGGGAUUUGCUUUCCAUAAAUUGCUGGAAGACGGUAGCAAUAACAGGUCUGUGAUGCCCUUAGAUGUUCUGGGCAGCGCACGGGCUACAAUAGGACAGUAAUUGAGCUUGUUCAACUUAACUCGAAAAGGGCAGUGAAAUCUUGAAAUUCUUCUUUAUUUGGGAUCGCGAUUUGAAAUUUUUACGUGUAAACCAGGAAUACCUAGUAAGUUCAUGUCAUCAACGUGAUCUGAAUACGUCCCUGCCCUUU
This 887-nucleotide ribosomal RNA is filed under the name uncultured organism. RNAcentral describes it as "SSU rRNA". It matches the Rfam family "Eukaryotic small subunit ribosomal RNA", at positions 750 to 1661 of the family's 1831-position model. The record is from RNAcentral.